UGAAUUCAGAAGCUGUUACUUUU
This 23-nucleotide non-coding RNA is filed under the name Rattus norvegicus (Norway rat). Lineage: Eukaryota; Metazoa; Chordata; Mammalia; Rodentia; Muridae. The record is from RNAcentral.